UAAGAAAAAACCCUCCUGACAAAAUAAUUUUUUUCAUCGUCUCCCAUUUGUCUGCUUUUGUUCUUCUCCCUUCUUUACCGAUUGAAAAUUAGAAAAUCCAACCGUAACUUUUGAAAAUCAAAAUCUCUCUCAAAUUACUCUUCUCCAAUACGAUUUCAAGCUAUUAUCCAUACUUUUUUAAAAUCAAACCCUAACUUUUGAAUCUCUACUCUCACCAUCAUCAUCGUCAUCUUGCCUCCAUUGAUUCAUUUUGUCACUGUCAACAUCGUUUCUUCAGCGAGGUAAUUUCGCCAAAAUUACUCAUUUUGUCACAGUCACGCUGUUUCUUCAGCCAGGUAGGUUCGCCAAUUUUGAUUUUCCUCUCUAGUUUCAGCUCGAUCCUCGUCUUCUUCUCCGUCAACAUCGUUUCCUAGCUAGCACCUGAAACCAGAUGCAACGCAGAACCAGUCUGCUAUGGGUUGAUCACAUUAUCCUCAGGUGUAAUUGCAUGAGACAGAGUUUGCAGUGCUGGUUCUUAAAAUGUGCUAAUAUGUUAGUAUUAGUAUUUCUUUCUAUAACUUGGGAAUUAGUGGAUGUUGGAUGUAGACUGUUGAAGGACAAAAGCGAAAGCUGGAGGAAAGUGAGCAAUUUCUAAAUCAAAGGAGGGAUCUGAUAGCCAAGUAUAGAAGCUCUGUUGAAGACCUUGUGAAGACUGAGCCAUACUUGCUUCUCACGAUACCAAGCACAGAUACUCCCCGUUAUGCUAGACGUUGGUACUAGCAAUCAAAGGCUACUUGAAGACCGGCUUUGUUGUCAGGAUUUUUUUGACAUGUUCUUUUGGCUUGACAGAUUUAGGAUUAAGACAACCUAGGUUAGAAGGGGAAGAAUAUCUAUCAAUUGUUGAUGAGUUCAUGGAAGCAGUUUUCACAGGUUGGCCUAAGGCUAUUGUACAGGGAACUUCUGGAGUUACACUUGCUGGAUUGUUAGAAACUGUAAGAGCACAAGGUUGAUCAUUGGCUGAAUUUCCAAACCAAAAGAUAGUUGUGGUGUGAGCUGGAAGUGCAGGGCUUGGUGUUCUUAGCAUGGCUGUGCAAGCUGUUGCGAGGAUGACAGGAAAAGCCGAACUAGCUGCACAACUUUUUCCUAUUUGAUAAAGAUCAGCACCACCACCAUUUGCUAAAGAUCCAGGACAGAAAGUGGGACUUAGAGAGGGGGCUUCUCUACUUGAAGUGGCUUGGAAUUGCACGAUUAGUCGUUGUCGGGGUCCCUCCCUUGGGCUGCAUGCCCCUUUUCAAGACUCUGACGGAAAUAUGUCGUUGCGAUACUAUGAACAACCCCAAAAAAUAUGGUUUGGCUGAAACUUCCAAAGGAUGUCGUGGAACGAGGACAGUAGAGUAUGGAGAUAAAUGCAAAGGCAUGAGCACAUGCGCUGAUGAUUCAAAAUAUUUAUUCUGGGAUGCUGUUCAUCCAGCAGAAAAAAUGUAUGAAAUAGUCGCUGGGCAGGCCAUAGAUUCUCUCCGAGAACAGCUGAUGGGCUAGCUAGCUGAUGCCGGGAAUUGAUGUUUUAGAUGUGGAGAUUAACUGCAAACAGAAAAAUUCACAGAGAAAAUAACUCAUAAGGAUUUGAAUAAUGGUAGAAUAUGAUUAUUGUAUUAAAAGGGAUAAAAGUUUACCACCAAGACUAGAAACUAAGGGAUACAGAAACACCAUCUUAAGAAUUCUAAUAAAAGAUACAGAAUAAUAGAAGUUCAUCACUCUAGGAAAUCCACUUAAAAGAUACAUAACCUGAAAAACAAUCUCGAAGAUUGUCUAAGGAUAAAGAAAACUCUAGUAUGUAUUGUACCAAAGAAUAAUAGAAAAUAUAUAGGCUAGGAACAUCCUUCUAAGAAUGAAAAUAUUUAGAUUGCAUUACUAGAAUCACGCCUAAAAUCAUAAGAUUUGCAUGUGAACAUAAUCUGUCUAUUUACUACUGAACAUGACCACAAUCUCAA
This is a non-coding RNA of Durio zibethinus, 1970 nucleotides long. NCBI's taxonomy places the organism in Eukaryota, Viridiplantae, Streptophyta, Magnoliopsida, Malvales, Malvaceae. The record is from RefSeq and is a predicted model, not a curated record.